RNAcentral lists this transfer RNA (70 nucleotides) under Streptomyces sp. LHD-70. RNAcentral describes it as "tRNA-Asn". The record is from RNAcentral. Lineage: Bacteria; Bacillati; Actinomycetota; Actinomycetes; Kitasatosporales; Streptomycetaceae.
GAGUCGCGGUGUGCGGAGUGCACUCCCCCGUUCAGGGGGCAGAGCGGGUUCGAAUCCCGCCGACUCACCA